GUAGAUUACUUUCUUGAACACAUCAAUGAACAGACAAGUACAACCUCUGCACAUGCCAUGUGGCAUUUUUGACAGUCCAACAGACGGAGGGGCAGUACUUGAAGUGUAGUAUUACUGAAGGCAAAAAAGAAUUGUCAGACACACUAGCAGUAGUUCUGUUGGGAACUUCAUAUUACAUAGCUGUCAUGGAACAGAAAGCCAAAGCAUCACAAGCGAAAGGAAAAGGAAAGGGUACCCACUGGGGGUUCCAUGAAAUCCAAGAUUUGCUUGAUAUUUGGGGGGAGAAAAAAGUGCAAGAUGCCCUGAGAGCGGUCCAUAUAAACAUAGAUGUGUUUGAAGAAAUAGCAGAACAGAUGCGGAAAAGGGGCCGCAGUCGAACUGCUGAGGAGUGCCGCAACAAAACAAAGGCAAUGAGGCUUGAGUACAAGAGGGUACAGGCACAUAACAAAUGCUUGGGAAACGCUCGCAAAACAUGUGCAUUUUACGCCAAGCUAGAAAACAUUCUCAAAGGAGAUGCAAGCAUUGACCAUCCCAGGCUCUUAAGAAGUUGUCCAGUCCAAAGAGAGGAACUUCCUCUGACCCAAGAUUUGGAUGUAACCACUUUGGAAGAGACAUGUUCCCAGAAGUCAGUACUGGAUACACAAGCUGCUAGUCCUUCACUGAUUACCGCGGAAGAAGAAGCAGAUGGAGAUGUUUCAGAACCGGUGAAUGUCCAUGUUCCACCUGCCCUUGUGGGAUCUCCUUCAGUGACACCCACAACUGAAGCUGAAGGUGAGGGAGAACCAGGGACCCUGAACCAAAGCCAGCAGUUACCUGAACAAGAAAGAAAGGACCCCCUGGAAAAGGCAGCACUAUCUCCUGCCACACGUUUACAGAAUCUAAGGACCAGAAGACGAGGUGUUAGACGGGGUGAAAAUAUCGCUAUGGCAAUCAUGCAGAAUGCUAACGAGCAGGCCAAGCUGCAGCGCGAAGCCAUGCGUGAGGACAUCUCCAAGGACAGGCAGAUACUUCUUAGCUUUUUUCAUUACUUUGAGGAGGAGAGUAGAGUGUCCCAACAGAGGUUCGAUGCAAUAGAGAAACUGAUACGUGAUGUUUUGGAACAAUCACGAGUGAAGAAGCAGUGUUGCACACAUACUACAACUUGUAAUACAGCGACAAUGCAAGAGCAACAAGAUUCCGUAGCUAGAUCUCAGUCCGGUGCAACAGCAAAUAAGAGGGGCAAUCAAGCAUCCAGAAAUAGUCUCGCACCCAAAAGAUUGUUCCCUGAAGAUAGACAUAGAAUUGCACCACCCUGCCAGACUGAUAUUGACAUGGCCAGUACUAGUGCGGUUUGCCAUGUGCAACCACUCCCUGAUCUUUUCAGGGGAGUGAGCCAAGGAGAGACUCCCCCCAUCAGCAAACCUGUCACAACAUACAUUACGGAACCAGCACCUGUUUCUAGCCAGCUGGCUGAGGCACGGAGAAAGCUGUCUGAUGCCUUGCAUGCCGAGAACACAGAGGGGACAAGGAAGGGUGAAAGGGAAAGGAAGAAGAAGCCGUACACCCCUUAGUUAUUUGUGUUUAUUUUACUGGCAUGUAUUUUGUAUUUUCAGAUAGGUUGGUAACAGCUGCAGGAAGUUAUAUGACGUUCUAAACAUGAUAUUGUAUUCCUAUUGUUGCUGUUAUAGUUUUUAGUUCAGAGGAAAAAAUAUCUGGUUGCAAUUUCUGGACUGGUUCAGCAUUGAUCACUGUGCUUGUGAUGUAUUAGAUGUGAAGUGACAUCCUUCCUACGUUCUACUAGGAAGCAGUCCUAUGUUAUUUUUUAUGUUUGUUUCAGUAUUUCAAAAGGUUUUUCAAACUGAAUUUAAAAUUUACUGUUUUUGGCUUCUUCAUUCUUAUUUCAGUAGGAAUACCUUCUCUGAAUAAGCAGUGCAUCAGGAAGUACCGUUUCCCCAAAAAUAAGACAGUGUCUUAUAUUAAUUUUUGCUCCCAAAGUUGUGCUAGGUCUUAUUUUCAGGGGAUGUCUUCUUUUUCCAUGAAGAAGUAUUUACAUUUAUUGUUGAACAAAAAACGAACAUUUAUUAUAUACUGUACAAUAGUUGUCAUCACAAACCAGCAUAACCAGAUAAACUGUGAAUCCUAUCAAGAAUUUCUUAUUACUACCAUUAUUUCCAUUUUCAACAAUCUAUGGUACGUACAUUUGCUGAUCCUGCAUGCUCUGGUGUUCUGUUUGGUGGGCAUGCUUCCAGACAAAAACUUUGCUAGGUCUUACUUUUGGGGGAGGCCUUAUAUUUAGCAAUUCAGCAAAAUCUCUAUUAAGUCUUAUUUUCUGGGGAUGUCUUAUUUGCUAGCUGAAAGGUCAGUGGUUCGAAUCUGGGGAGCAGAAUGAGCUCCUGCUGUUAGCCCCAGCUUCUGCCAACCUAGUACUUCGAAAACAUGCAAAUUUGAGUAGAUCAGUGGUUCUAAACAUGUGGGUCCCCAGAUGUUUUGGCUUUCAACUCCCAGAAAUCUUACUAGCUGGUAAAGUGGUUGGGAUUUCUGGGAGUUGUAUGCCAAAACACCUGGGGACCCCAGGUUGAGAACCACUGGAGUAGAUCAAUAGGUACCAUUUCAGCAAGAAGGUAACAGCUCUCCAUGCAGUCAUGCUGACCACAUGACCUUGGAGGCAUCUACAGACUAUGCUGGCUCUUCGGCUUAGAAAUUGAGAUGAGCACCAACCGUCAGAAUCGGACACGACUGGACUUAUUGUCAGGGAAAAACUUUUACCUUUACCCUAGUGCUUGCAGAAGGUGACGAUUCCUCCUUUGCAGUCUUUCUAUCUCCAUUUGUAGUAGGAGAUACAUCGCAAGUGUUACCAAAGCAAGGUUAGGAAAUGGAGCCAUGUGUAUGAAAAUGGAGGUUGUCUAAACGCCUGUAGAACAAAUAAAGAAAAAGGGGAAAAAAAGAGAACAGGAUUAGUUUCACUGUGAUCUGGCUUCAAAAGUAGUAGGUGUGUAAGUCUCCUGAAGGUGAAAAGGUAUAGAAAUCAGUAAUAUGUCAGGACAUUUGAUAGAAACAAGGUUUCAUUUUAGUCUCAAUAUGUGCCUAAAUAUUUCCCAGAGCUAGCAGAUAUUUAUUUAAUAAAUGUGACACAAGCAUAUUAAACCCUCUAACAUAAUCUGGGAAGAGCACACAUAUGAGUUGUCAUUACCUUUUAUAAAUGCAGGGUAAUCCAAGCAGUGCAUCUGCAUUAUUGAAUUAAUGCAGUUACACACAUCAGACUCGUAAAGUUGCUCAAAAUGCUGCUAAAGUACUGUACAUGUGUCUACCCUUACCAUAUAAUGCAGUUGCAGGCUGAGCAUGUGGCUGGUUAGAAGGGGUCAAAGGUUCAUCAAACCUUGACUUUUGGGGUGCAUCUGCACCUUAUUAUUGCAGUUUGAAACCACACCACAAUAUUACAUGGGAAAUGUGAUUAAUGACUUAAUUCUGGAUGAUCCCACACCGGGAGGAAUGAAAAAGGGGUGAGAAGUGUGACAGCUAUAGCAUGAAAUUUAAGUCUGCGUAUAUGAUCAGUGUAGACUCAUGUAAAUAUGCUAAAUUCUACAACUACACAAGUCAUUCUCUGCCAAAGAGUGCAGAAACCUCAUAAAACUGGUCCUUUCAGCACUACUGUUCUUAUUAUUGCGUUGCCAUGAGUUUUCUGGGCUGUAUGGCUAUGUUCCUGGAGCAUUCUCUUCUGAUGUUUCGCCCACACCUAUGACAAGCAUUCUCAGAGGUUGUGAGGUCUGUUGGAAACUAGGCAAGUGGGGUUUACAUAUCAGUGGAAUGUCCAGGGUGGGAGAAAUAACUCUUUUCUGCUUGAGGCAAGUGGGAAUGUUGCAGUUGCCCAACUUGAUUAGCUUUGAAUAGCCCUGCAGCUUCAAAGCCUGGCUGCAAUUAAACAAUGAUGCAAGUAUCCAGAUCUUGGGGAUUCAGAAGCUGGAUUAUAUGGCAGUGUAGAUGGGGCCCUAGAUAAUGUCACUUCAAGAUAAAUUUCCUUGGAAAUAAGCCCCACUGAGUUCAAUUAAACUCUAGCUCCAGACAAAUGUGAAGAUGGUUAAUGCUGCUCAGUGCUGCUAAAGUGCCCUACACGAGUCUACCCUGACUACAUAAUGCAGUUGCAAGCUAAGUAUGUGGCUGGUUAGAGGGAUCAUAGGUUCAUCAAACUUCCUUGG
This 4172-nucleotide long non-coding RNA is filed under the name Anolis carolinensis (green anole). RNAcentral describes it as "lncRNA (ENSACAG00000044916.1)". The record is from RNAcentral. Lineage: Eukaryota; Metazoa; Chordata; Lepidosauria; Squamata; Anolidae.